Molecule: unclassified non-coding RNA, 626 nt
Filed under: Hevea brasiliensis (rubber tree)
Lineage: Eukaryota; Viridiplantae; Streptophyta; Magnoliopsida; Malpighiales; Euphorbiaceae
Source: RNAcentral
ACACUUUCUAACACUGAUGGUGCUGAUUCUAAGUCUCUUUACCUCAAGAGGAAGUACUACUACAAAUAUCAGAGGUCUGAAAGGUUAUAUCCUUUCAAAAAGAGGAAACACUUUGCCUAUGCUUCACAAUCAAAUUCUGAAGGAGGGAUUAGUAAUGAGUUUAUUUGCAAUUCACCCCAAAAGGGUAAUGAUGGUGAUGCUUCUGCUUCCGGUAGAAAGAAGCAUGGAGUUAUUGGUGCCUCAUCUUCUGUUGCAGGUCAACACAAUUCAUUCCGACCUAGGGAUUCUCACGUGAAGCUUAGGAUAAAGUCUUUCAAGGUACCAGAGCUAUUUAUUGAGAUUCCAGAAAGUGCAACUGUUGGCUUAUUGAAGAGGACUGUUAUGGAGGCUGUGACUGCUAUCCUUGGAGGUGGUUUACGUGUUGGUGUACUUCUUCAGGGAAAGAAGGUUUGGGAUGACGAUAAAACUUUAGUGCAGACUGGAAUUUGUCAAAAUAAUCAAUUGGAUGCUUUGGGCUUUAGCCUAGAGCCCAAUUCUUCUCGAGCUCCCCCUUCUUUGUGUCCCGUAGAUUCUUCCUUUCUGAUUGACACAGCACAACCUGUAAGCAGGUAUCCACCUGCUCCAAG